AGUAACGGCGAGGGAAGCGGGAAAAGCUCAAAUUUAAAAUCUGGUAGUCUUUGGCUGCCCGAGUUGUAAACUAGAGAAGUGUUAUCCGUAUUGGACCGUGCACAAGUUCCCUGGAACGGGGCGUCAUAGAGGGUGAGAAUCCCGUAUAUGGCACGGACUACCGGAGCUCUGUGAUACACUCUCAAC
This 186-nucleotide ribosomal RNA is filed under the name Sebacinaceae sp. RNAcentral's name for it is "partial large subunit ribosomal RNA". It matches the Rfam family "Eukaryotic large subunit ribosomal RNA", at positions 82 to 261 of the family's 3401-position model. The record is from RNAcentral. Lineage: Eukaryota; Fungi; Basidiomycota; Agaricomycetes; Sebacinales; Sebacinaceae.